GCCGAAAUAGGUCAGAUGGGAGAACGUCAGACUGAAGAUGUGAAAGUCCCUGGCUCAAUCCCGGGUUUCGGCA
RNAcentral lists this transfer RNA (73 nucleotides) under Paramuricea clavata. It matches the Rfam family "tRNA". Rfam says of the family: Transfer RNA (tRNA) molecules are approximately 80 nucleotides in length. Their secondary structure includes four short double-helical elements and three loops (D, anti-codon, and T loops). The record is from Rfam by way of RNAcentral. Lineage: Eukaryota; Metazoa; Cnidaria; Anthozoa; Malacalcyonacea; Plexauridae.